RNAcentral lists this ribosomal RNA (464 nucleotides) under uncultured bacterium. Its description in RNAcentral is "partial 16S ribosomal RNA". It matches the Rfam family "Bacterial small subunit ribosomal RNA", at positions 29 to 507 of the family's 1533-position model. The record is from RNAcentral.
ACGAACGCUGGCGGCGUGCUUAACACAUGCAAGUCGAACGGAAAGGCCCUGCUUGCAGGGUACUCGAGUGGCGAACGGGUGAGUAACACGUGGGUGAUCUGCCCUGCACUUCGGGAUAAGCCUGGGAAACUGGGUCUAAUACCGGAUAGGAGCCAUUUUUAGUGUGAUGGUUGGAAAGUUUUUUCGGUGUAGGAUGAGCUCGCGGCCUAUCAGCUUGUUGGUGGGGUAAUGGCCUACCAAGGCGGCGACGGGUAGCCGGCCUGAGAGGGUGGACGGCCACAUAGGGACUGAGAUACGGCCCAGACUCCUACGGGAGGCAGCAGUGGGGAAUAUUGCACAAUGGGCGCAAGCCUGAUGCAGCGACGCCGCGUGGGGGAUGACGGCCUUCGGGUUGUAAACUCCUUUCGCUAGGGACGAAGCUUUUUGUGACGGUACCUAGAGAAGAAGCACCGGCUAACUACGUG